UAACAAUUAAUGCAUACUUUUUUUACGGAAUUUUGUUAAAUUAAUCUACUACAUACAAAAAUUCUAAGCAUUGCAACAGUUGGACUAAAUGCUCUAGGAAUUCAUAAUGAAAACUUUAUAAAAGGACUUAUAAAAACUUCAUAAAAAAACGGCUUGUGUAAAUUAUAGAAGAAAAUUAUAUGUUUUUUUUAUUUUAUUAAUUUUAUAAUUACGUCAUUUUGAUAGGUAUUAAAUAAUUUAAAAAGAAAAACACAUUAGGUAGGUAGCAAAUACAAUAUUAUUUAAUUUUAUCUAAAUUAAAAUCAGCAAGAUUUUUUAUAAGUUCAAUGUCAUUCGCCUUAAACUAAUCUUAAGUACAAAAAAUACUUCUCGUGUCUACAAUAGCCGACGACCUUGCUAUAAAUAGUGCAAGAGCUUAACGUAUUAUUGCCCACACUUACCGAACAUCCUAUUACUUAAAUAUAGUAAGAAUUUUGAAACU
Molecule: long non-coding RNA, 481 nt
Organism: Maniola jurtina (meadow brown)
Lineage: Eukaryota; Metazoa; Arthropoda; Insecta; Lepidoptera; Nymphalidae
Exons: 3
Source: RefSeq, a predicted model, not a curated record